Molecule: ribosomal RNA, 700 nt
Filed under: uncultured bacterium
Lineage: Bacteria
Description: bacterial SSU rRNA
Rfam family: Bacterial small subunit ribosomal RNA
Source: RNAcentral
UUCGGGUGGAGCGGCGGACGGGUGAGUAACGCGUGGGAAUAUACCCUUCUCUAUGGAAUAGCCUCGGGAAACUGAGAGUAAUACCUUAUACGCCCUUCGGGGGAAAGAUUUAUCGGAGAAGGAUUAGCCCGCGUUAGAUUAGAUAGUUGGUGGGGUAAUGGCCUACCAAGUCUACGAUCUUUAGCUGGUUUUAGAGGAUGAUCAGCAACACUGGGACUGAGACACGGCCCAGACUCCUACGGGAGGCAGCAGUGGGGAAUCUUAGACAAUGGGGGAAACCCUGAUCUAGCCAUGCCGCGUGAGUGAUGAAGGCCUUAGGAUCGUAAAGCUCUUUCGCUAGAGAUGAUAAUGACAGUACCUGGUAAAGAAACCCCGGCUAACUCCGUGCCAGCAGCCGCGGUAAUACGGAGGGGGUUAGCGUUGUUCGGAAUUACUGGGCGUAAAGCGUACGUAGGCGGAUUAGAAAGUAUGGGGUGAAAUCCCAGGGCUCAACCCUGGAACUGCCUUUUAUACUGCUGGUCUUGAGUUCGAGAGAGGUGAGUGGAAUUCCAAGUGUAGAGGUGAAAUUCGUAGAUAUUUGGAGGAACACCAGUGGCGAAGGCGGCUCACUGGCUCGAUACUGACGCUGAGGUACGAAAGUGUGGGGAGCAAACAGGAUUAGAUACCCUGGUAGUCCACACCGUAAACGAUGAAUGCCAGA